Molecule: ribosomal RNA, 28 nt
Filed under: Boeremia exigua
Lineage: Eukaryota; Fungi; Ascomycota; Dothideomycetes; Pleosporales; Didymellaceae
Also listed under: 1 other name
Description: partial 28S ribosomal RNA
Source: RNAcentral
AACUUAAGCAUAUCAAUAAGCCGGAGGA